This is a long non-coding RNA of Pan troglodytes (chimpanzee), 2005 nucleotides long. RefSeq lists it as uncharacterized. Lineage: Eukaryota; Metazoa; Chordata; Mammalia; Primates; Hominidae. The record is from RefSeq and is a predicted model, not a curated record. The transcript has 3 exons.
GGGCCGAGGGAGGGAGCGCGAGGCGCCCGCUCCCGGGAGUGAGAGGCUCCUGCGGCGGAACCCGAAGCAGCGACAGCGGGGGCCGGGGACGCGGGGCGCUGGGCGGGAGUGCGGGAGGGGCGGCGCCAGAUGCGCGGGGUCCGAGCGAGGGGCGGAGGCGACAGGUGCUGCGAGGGGGGUAGGCGAGGGUGCCGAGGGAGGCAGGAGGCCCUUUCUGAGGAAAACCGAAGGGGGUGAAAAUAGGGGGUGAGACUGGGGCCCGAUCCUAGGGAAUGGAAAGACUUGGAAGUCAGACUGGAAGAAGAGACGGGCCUCGGGUGUUGGGAGCGAGGGGCUGUAAAAGGGAAGAGUCGGGAGGGGAGACUGCGGGAAGGGCCCUGGCCAAAGGGGCAGUGGCAGGAGAGCCUCUAGGAAGCUCCUCAAGUCUCGUCUGAGGCUUUUGGAUACGGGUCGCGGCACAGGGAGAACGCACGCAGCUCUGUACUCUCUUGAAUUGUCCUCCUCUACUUAUUCUGUAAUUCCCAAUUAUUUUGUCCUAUAGAUGGAAGAGACCCUCUCCGCCAGAGCUCUCAAUUUUAACUAAUUUGCCCACAGUUUUCCAAAAAAUCUCAGUCACGGUAUUUGCUCGAGUGUUUUUUAGCACAUGCUUAUAUAAAUAUGUAGUUUUACCACGCGCUUAUAUAAACAUAUAGUACCGAAAUGUGAUACAGCUGUACAAGAAGGAAAUGGGAAAGACGUGGAAAGGGAAACAAUAUUCUGCCCACAGAAAGUAAAAUACGUAAGCUACAGAGGAAUUGUGAAGGGCGAGGCCAGUACAAGGUCACAUAUUAAAGGAAGAAUAAAUGUGAUAUAGAAGUGAAAAGAGUGGUAAGAGGAAAUUAGAAGCAUGAUGCCUAGGCAGCGUGUUCAAAGACUGACCUCCCCACCCUCCCCCCACAAAAAGAAAAAAAAAGAAAAAAGACUGGCAAAGAAUUAGAUCAUCUUCCUUGCUGACAAGUAUCAUCUAGGAAUCACUCUACCUCGCUGGCAAUUUUGAGAAAAUAGCCAGUUAUUUUUGUGCUGAACUUUCAUCUGGUUAAGGGUCAUUCCUUCAGCAUUCAACUAAUAUUUACUCUCCUAUAUCCUCACCCACCCCAUGGAAAGAAUAUAUGUCACUUCAUCAACAAAAGGCUUGGCCAUGUGACUUUCUUUAGCCAAUGGAAUGUCAGUAGAUGUAAUUUACCACAUCCUUGCAGAAGUUUUAGAUGUGCCUGCAUGAAUUGACUUGGUCUCUUGAGCUUCUGAUCUCUACCAAAAGAAGCGCUUUCCUCAGGCAAUCCAGGACUGCAAAAACACAUACAGCCCAGCAAAGCUGUAGCCAACGCAAAGGCCUGUAAGCAUGAAAUAAAUCUUUAUUAUUAUAAGCCACUGACGUCUUGGGGUUGUUUCUUACUAUAGCAAACAUUGACUAAUACAAGUGUUGACUUUAUAAGCACACUGUAAGAAAAGCCAUAAGCAAUAUAAACAAAAGGCAGGAUGUUUGAAUUUACUUUCAAAACAAAAAGAUGCUAAUGUUAUACACAGAUUGUGGAAUAUGCUACAAUUGUGUCAUCCUUAACACAGCUACUUUUUCACCUUUUAGUACCAGAGUGUAUGCAUAAGAUGCGAAUAUUUAGGAGCCAGACAGUAACCUAUAGGUAUGCCUAUGUGUCUAUAUAUUUGUGUGAUUAAUAGCUGUGGAUCUGUCAUGAUUCUUCUUACAUUAUAAAAUUUAAAAGGACAGUGAGUCAUUUUUAUAAUAAAAUCUAUUGCCAUCAUUCUAAUUCAACCCAAAUAACUUAGAUGGGACAGAAAGUCUGUUUUACCCUAAUAAAAUAGAACUUAAGGCUUAGUAAAUGCUUCAGACAGUUUUCUGUAUGUACCAGUGACCACAAAAAAAAAAUAAUAAUAAGUAUUGUAUGACUACAAUGUUACAUAACUAUAUACCAUGGAUAUGUGCGAUAAUAAAAAGAGCAAGAAUACCAAA